CCCACGGCGCUCCAGAGACAGCAAAUUCGCAGCUUUCCGCCUGGAAGAACAAGAUUGGAGAAGGAGGACCAGGCACUCCUAGGGGGAGCCCCACCUAAUUCUGGCAUUCAACUUGCUGGUUUCUGCUACCAACCCUGGGGUGCCUGAAACACCUGACUCCAUGGCAGAGCCUGCAGACGCCAUCCUGGGACAAUUGACAGAAUGCCUGCAAGGAAAAUCUAAGACUCUUUAAAUUUUUUUUUUAACCAAGGCCAGCUCUCCCAGAUCUCUGCUUGCAGUGCCCGGGUGAGAAUGGAAGAAACACCAAGAAGAGAGCCUAAGAGAAACG
Molecule: long non-coding RNA, 328 nt
Organism: Symphalangus syndactylus (siamang)
Lineage: Eukaryota; Metazoa; Chordata; Mammalia; Primates; Hylobatidae
Source: RefSeq, a predicted model, not a curated record